Molecule: long non-coding RNA, 517 nt
Organism: Portunus trituberculatus (swimming crab)
Lineage: Eukaryota; Metazoa; Arthropoda; Malacostraca; Decapoda; Portunidae
Exons: 2
Source: RefSeq, a predicted model, not a curated record
CGGCUGCCUCUCACUCUGUACUCCUCCUUCACAGCGGUCACGUGCUCCGCUCUCCCUCGCUCUCACUCGCUCGCCAGGUGUGACUUGCGACGCUCAACAGACGCACCAGAAAGGAAGAACAUAGUGAAAGGGAGAUAAUAAAAGAAAUGUUGAUUAAAAAUAGUGAAUAGAUACAACAUAAAGAAGAGGAAACAAGGCUCACUGAUUGGUUCUGAAGCUACAAGGAAGAGGAAGGACAGAAAAGAGAAGAGAAGAAAAGAAAACAUCGAUUGGUUCUAAGACGAAAAAAGGAGAAAGAGAAGAGAGAAGAUUAAGUGUGUGGAUGCAGAACAAGUAGAGAAAAGAGAAAAGAAGAUAUUAUUGAUUAGUUUUAAAAGAAGGAAAGAAGAUUGUUAUUUGUUGAAGAGGAACAGAAAGAAGUAACGGAAGCAUCAAACAACAUUCACUAAUUUCAAACCUCAAGGAAGAAAAAAAAAGAAGACUCAAGAUUACCUGACGGAUUUUGCAGCUUGAAGAC